AGGCCGUUCACAUUGUCU
Molecule: non-coding RNA, 18 nt
Filed under: Arabidopsis thaliana (thale cress)
Lineage: Eukaryota; Viridiplantae; Streptophyta; Magnoliopsida; Brassicales; Brassicaceae
Source: RNAcentral